RNAcentral lists this ribosomal RNA (351 nucleotides) under uncultured bacterium. RNAcentral describes it as "bacterial SSU rRNA". It matches the Rfam family "Bacterial small subunit ribosomal RNA", at positions 917 to 1271 of the family's 1533-position model. The record is from RNAcentral.
GGGCCCGCACAAGCGGUGGAGCAUGUGGUUUAAUUCGAUGAUACGCGAGGAACCUUACCAGGGCUUAAAUGUAGAGUGCAUGAUCUAGAGAUAGACUUUCUUCGGACUCUCUACAAGGUGCUGCAUGGUUGUCGUCAGCUCGUGCCGUGAGGUGUCAGGUUAAGUCCUAUAACGAGCGCAACCCUUAUCGUUAGUUGCCAUCAAGUAAAGUUGGGGACUCUAGCGAGACUGCCGGUGCAAACCGCGAGGAAGGUGGGGAUGACGUCAAAUCAUCACGGCCCUUACGUCCUGGGCUACACACGUGCUACAAUGGUAUGGACAAUGAGCAGCCACUAUGCGAAUAGGAGCGAA